Molecule: ribosomal RNA, 253 nt
Filed under: uncultured bacterium
Lineage: Bacteria
Description: partial 16S ribosomal RNA
Rfam family: Bacterial small subunit ribosomal RNA
Source: RNAcentral
AACGUAGGAGACAAACGUUAUCCGGAGUUACUGGGCGUAAAGGGCGUGUAGGUGGUUUCGCAAGUCUGGCGUGAAAUAUCUCGGCUUAACCGAGGCAGGUCGUCGGAUACUGCGGGACUAGAGGACGGUAGAGGCGUGUGGAAUUCCGGGUGUAGUGGUGAAAUGCGUAGAGAUCCGGAGGAACACCAGUGGCGAAGGCGACACGCUGGGCCGUACCUGACACUGAUGCGCGACAGCAUGGGGAGCAAACAGG